UCCAUCAUUACUUUAAGACAUGAAGGUCAGUCAAUACAACAGUCCAUCAUUACUUUAAGACAUGAAGGUCAGUCAAUACAACAGUCCAUCAUUACUUUAAGACAUGAAGGUCAGUCAAUACAACAGUCCAUCAUUACUUUAAGACAUGAAGGUCAGUCAAUACAACAGUCCAUCAUUACUUUAAGACAUGAAGGUCAGUCCAUACAACAGUCCAUCAUUACUUUAAGACAUGAAGGUCAGUCAAUACAACAGUCCAUCAUUACUUUAAGACAUGAAGGUCAGUCCAUACAACAGUCCAUCAUUACUUUAAGACAUGAAGGUCAGUCCAUACAACAGUCCAUCAUUACUUUAAGACAUGAAGGUCAGUCAAUACAACAGUCCAUCUUUACUUUAAGACAUGAAGGUCAGUCCAUCAUUACUUUAAGACAUGAAGGUCAGUCAAUACAACAGUCCAUCAUUACUUUAAGACAUGAAGGUCAGUCAAUACAACAGUCCAUCAUUACUUUAAGACAUGAAGGUCAGUCAAUACAACAGUCCAUCAUUACUUUAAGACAUGAAGGUCAGUCAA
Long non-coding RNA from Oncorhynchus keta (chum salmon), 568 nucleotides. RefSeq lists it as uncharacterized. The transcript has 3 exons. The record is from RefSeq and is a predicted model, not a curated record. NCBI's taxonomy places the organism in Eukaryota, Metazoa, Chordata, Actinopteri, Salmoniformes, Salmonidae.